UAGAGUUUUAUCAUGGCUCAGAUUGAACGCUGGCGGCAGGCCUAACACAUGCAAGUCGAGCGGAAACGAGAAUAGCUUGCUAUUCGGCGUCGAGCGGCGGACGGGUGAGUAAUGCCUGGGAAUAUGCCUUGAUGUGGGGGAUAACUAUUGGAAACGAUAGCUAAUACCGCAUAAUCUCUACGGAGCAAAGAGGGGGACCUUCGGGCCUCUCGCGUCAAGAUUAGCCCAGGUGAGAUUAGCUUGUUGGUGAGGUAAGAGCUCACCAAGGCAACGAUCUCUAGCUGGUCUGAGAGGAUGAUCAGCCACACUGGAACUGAGACACGGUCCAGACUCCUACGGGAGGCAGCAGUGGGGAAUAUUGCACAAUGGGCGCAAGCCUGAUGCAGCCAUGCCGCGUGUAUGAAGAAGGCCUUCGGGUUGUAAAGUACUUUCAGUUGUGAGGAAGGGGGUAUCGUUAAUAGCGGUAUCCUUUGACGUUAGCAACAGAAGAAGCACCGGCUAACUCCGUGCCAGCAGCCGCGGUAAUACGGAGGGUGCGAGCGUUAAUCGGAAUUACUGGGCGUAAAGCGCAUGCAGGCGGCUUGUUAAGCCAGAUGUGAAAGCCCCGGGCUCAACCUGGGAACCGCAUUUGGAACUGGCAAGCUAGAGUCUUGUAGAGGGGGGUAGAAUUUCAGGUGUAGCGGUGAAAUGCGUAGAGAUCUGAAGGAAUACCGGUGGCGAAGGCGGCCCCCUGACAAAGACUGACGCCAGAUGCGAAAGCUGACAA
Molecule: ribosomal RNA, 766 nt
Filed under: Photobacterium sp. S3856
Lineage: Bacteria; Pseudomonadati; Pseudomonadota; Gammaproteobacteria; Vibrionales; Vibrionaceae
Description: bacterial SSU rRNA
Rfam family: Bacterial small subunit ribosomal RNA
Source: RNAcentral